GACGAACGCUGGCGGCGUGCUUAACACAUGCAAGUCGAACGGAAAGGCCCUGCUUUUGUGGGGUGCUCGAGUGGCGAACGGGUGAGUAACACGUGAGUAACCUGCCCUUGACUUUGGGAUAACUUCAGGAAACUGGGGCUAAUACCGGAUAGGAGCUCCUGCUGCAUGGUGGGGGUUGGAAAGUUUCGGCGGUUGGGGAUGGACUCGCGGCUUAUCAGCUUGUUGGUGGGGUAGUGGCUUACCAAGGCUUUGACGGGUAGCCGGCCUGAGAGGGUGACCGGCCACACUGGGACUGAGAUACGGCCCGGACUCCUACGGGAGGCAGCAGUGGGGAAUAUUGCACAAUGGGCGGAAGCCUGAUGCAGCAACGCCGCGUGCGGGAUGACGGCCUUCGGGUUGUAAACCGCUUUCGCCUGUGACGAAGCGUGAGUGACGGUAAUGGGUAAAGAAGCACCGGCUAACUACGU
RNAcentral lists this ribosomal RNA (467 nucleotides) under uncultured bacterium. RNAcentral's name for it is "partial 16S ribosomal RNA". It matches the Rfam family "Bacterial small subunit ribosomal RNA", at positions 28 to 506 of the family's 1533-position model. The record is from RNAcentral.